RNAcentral lists this transfer RNA (67 nucleotides) under Oedipina poelzi (quarry worm salamander). Its description in RNAcentral is "tRNA-Tyr". It matches the Rfam family "tRNA". Rfam says of the family: Transfer RNA (tRNA) molecules are approximately 80 nucleotides in length. The record is from RNAcentral. Lineage: Eukaryota; Metazoa; Chordata; Amphibia; Caudata; Plethodontidae.
GGUAAGGUGUCCGAUAUAGGUGUCGAGUUGUAACCUCGACCAUAAAGGUCAAAUCCUUUUCUUACCA